Molecule: ribosomal RNA, 119 nt
Filed under: Pteropus alecto (black flying fox)
Lineage: Eukaryota; Metazoa; Chordata; Mammalia; Chiroptera; Pteropodidae
Source: RNAcentral
GUCUGCAGCCAUGCCACCCUGAACACGCCCGAUCCUAUCUGAUCUUGGAAACUAAGCAGGGUCGGGCCUGGUUAGUACUUGGAUGGGAGACCACCUAGGAAGACCAGGUGCUCUAGGCA